Molecule: long non-coding RNA, 1005 nt
Filed under: Canis lupus familiaris (dog)
Lineage: Eukaryota; Metazoa; Chordata; Mammalia; Carnivora; Canidae
Description: lncRNA (ENSCAFG00040022295.1)
Source: RNAcentral
AUGCCCAAGCACACGGAGACCCCGUUCCUCCCAGACCCUGCAGGCCUGCCGGCCCCGGACUCCCCUCCUGCACUGAGGACGGAAUCGGAGGCUUUUGCAGCAGCUGGCAGGGACAAGACGGGGAGACGGAGGGGGCACCUCAGGGCUCGGGCUGGGUCUCCGGGAUCCCGGGGAUCGAGCCCCUUGCGCCCCGCGGGCUGGGAGCAGCGGCGCGGGUGGCGGAGCGCGGGGAGCCGGGGCCGCGGGCGGGGGAGGGGCGGCGGUGGGGGAGGGGGCGCGGCGGUGCGCACGUCGUCGCGUUUAUCCACCUGGCAGCUCCAAUUCGCCCGCCCGUCACUCACCCUCCGCCUCCCCGGCGCUCGCUGCGGGGCCCAGCCCGGGCCGACACGCGGGCGGGGACCCCCACCCGGGGCCUUCGGGUCCCCUGCCCAUGCACUGGCCGGGUGGCCCGGUCCCCAAGGACCCCUCCCCCGGAGCUCUGGUACCCAGGAGGGUGCACACCUCCAUCCAGCUCCUGGAGCUGGUGGGCAGGACCGAGGCAGGGGGCUCCCCCACCCCGAGGGCGGCCCCGCCUUCUCCACCUGGCAGAGAGGGCCGCUCCUCUUCCAGCUCAGGGGUCUUCCGGCCCGGGGAAGCCCCCCACCUCCACCACGAGGAGGUAGACUUGGGGGGCGGGGGCGGGGCCGCGAGGGCGGCGGGGGAGGGGGCGGUGACUCAGCCGCCCUCCGCCCGCCUCCCCGGAACUUUGCAGCAGCUGGAGCCGUUGCUACAGGAACCGAAAGCUUUUGUUCCCCAAUGUCAGGGCUGCCCGGCAGACUGGAGGCUGGGAGGCUGCCACUCCCCGGUGGGACCCAGGCCCAGCCACCCUGCCCAGAGGACUUCCAGCAGCAGAACGCCACACAUUCGAGCCCUCUCUCUCCCCCUUACCCACCCUUCACCAAGCCAAUCCCGGCAGAGCCAGGUUUCUUCAAACUCUUGGGGCCCUUAGGCGGGGGCGCCCCCUAA